CCUCAGCCUCCCUGGACUCAAGCGAUCCUCCCAUGUCAGCCUCCUGGGUAGCUGAGACUACAGAAAUGCAACAACAAGCCUGGCUUUCUCUCUCUCUCUUUUGUACUUUUUUUUUGUAGAAACUGGGUUUCACCAUGUUCCCCCAGCUGUUCUUGAAAUCCUGGGCUCAAGCAACCUGCCCGCUUCUGCCUCCCUACGUGCUGGGAUUACAGGCGUGAGCCACUGCACCCAGCUGGAAAAAAAAAAACAAUUCUUAUGCAUCAAUGUGCAGACCACAAUUCUCUGAACUCCAAGGAAUAGGCCGGGAACGGUGGCUCAAGCCUGUAAUCCUAGCACUUUGGGAGGCCGAGGCGAGACCAGACUGAUCAACAUGGUGAAACUUCGUCUCUACUAAUAAUACAAAAAAAUUAGCUGGGCGUGGUGGGGCGCGCCUGUAAUCCCACCUACUGGAAGAGACUGAGUCAGGAGAAUCGCUUGAACCUGAAAGACGGAGGUUGCACUAAGUCCAGAUCGUGCCACUGCACUCCAGCCUGGGAGACAGAGCGGGACUCCAUCUCAAAACAAAGAAACAAAGAAACAAACAAACAAACAUAUUAUACUUUCCAUUUUCACUCCCUGGGUCUCCGUACCACCCAAGGUGGAUGUGUGAGCACAAGACUGGUAAAAGGAAGAAAAUAGAAAAAAAGAACUACCUCGCUCAGGAUGUCUUUUUUCGGAAGCUAUAAGCCCACUACCGUGUUAAAGUGUCCACUAAUCUUCUGUUCCUUUAUGACAUGCCAUUGAAGAGCAAGCCAGAAAAAGAAAAUCCGAAAAAAGAGAAAAGGAAAUGCCUACAUAAUUUCAUUUUGAAUUCCUUAGUUUUCUGAGCAGUGUUUUAUACGGUGACCAAGCAUGGGAGUAUCUUCCUCAUUUGACCUAUUCCUCGCCUUUUCUUUCCCAUCUUUUGCUGGGGAAAAUUGGAUCCUAUUUCACACAUAAAUUGCAGCAGAACUUAUAUUUCUUGGGUGGAGGGGAGGUGAGUGAAUGACGGGUGAUAUUGAAGACAACAGAAUUAGGCGUUGGAAGAUACACUGACCCUACAAAUGGCAGUUUCUGUAUUUUGAAGAAAUGACAAAAGCAGUAGGAUCACGGUGGCCGAGAUAGCUCAGUUGGGAGAGCGUUAGACUGAAGAUCUAAAGGUCCCUGGUUCAAUCCCGGGUUUCGGCAGUUGCAUUUUGGUUUUAGCAUAAUUGUCACUCCUUCAACACAGCGCUUGCGCACCAAUCCCAGAGGUCUAUAUAUAACUCCAGGUGUUUGUGGUUUUUUUGUUUCUUUUUUCUUUUUUCUUUUUUUUGGCUGUUUUCUGAAAAUUCCAUAAAGGUAAUGUAUACACACACACACACACACACACACACACACACACAUCUAUAUAUAUAUAUUUACACACAAACACAUAUAUAUAUAUAUAUUUGUAACACUCUCUCCACUGAAGACUUCCAUGAAGUGUUAACUGACAGGACGUAAAUUAUUUAAAGUCUUAAACCUAGCAAGUUAUUACUUUUAAAACCUAAGAAAUUCCAAUAUGCUAUAUGCUGUGGCACUUACAAUUCAUUUCUGAUCUGAUGUUAUUUAUGUGUGUUGGGCGGGGGUGUUUUUAAAUCACAAGAAAUGUGAAGAAACCUGUAGAAGAAGAACUAUUAUACUGUAUGAGUGUAUAUAUGUGGUGGUGGUAUAUUCAAGAAACAUUUUGCAAUUAGAAAAAACCGGGUUUGUACCUUGAGUCAACUCCAUAGCUCCGCAGUUAAACUGCUGGAAAAAUAACUUUUGCUUUGUUUUGUUUUUCUGAGGCAGGGUCUCACUCUGUCACCCAUGCUGGAAUGCAGUGGUAUGAUCACAGCUCACUGCAGCCUCAGCCUCCCUGGACUCAAGCGAUCCUCCUAUGUCAACCUCCUGAGUAGCUGAGACUACAGAAAUGCAACAACAAGCCUGGCUUUUUGUUUGUUUGUUUGUUUUUUGGUUUUGUUUUUUUUUUAAUUUUUUUGGUAGAGACUGGGUUUCACCAUGUUGCCCUGGCUCUUCUGGAAAUCCUGGCUCACCUCUGCCUCUCACCAUGCUGGGAUUACAGGCUUGAGCCACCACACCAGGCCUAAUUACAGGAAUAUUCUAAGUUUUCUUACUGACAGGAAGCCUGGCACCCUUGUCCAGAAUUUCCAAAUCUUAACUAAUUUCUGUGUUGGAAUCCAGGAAAGAACAAAAACAAGUACUUGUAUAUGAAUUAUUCUGUCAGACAUUCAUGAGGGGCCUUAGAAUACUGAAAAUGAAAGCAAAUGGGCAGCAAAGUCAUCAAGAUUCAGGUGCAUGUGCCUCAUUUUCCCUUUUCCACUUCAACUUCUCUGUUGAAAUACUGUGUUGGGGGUAAUGGGUCUUUUUUUUCCCUCCUUUUUUCUUUCAAAUUGCUGUUUCAUUUUGAGAGUUAUUUUCCCCUAACUCCUGCAUACUGUGUGAGGAGACUAAACAAUCUACAGUACUUCAACAUCAGAACUGCAGCAAGUUGAAAAAGGAAAAUUAGUACCAAAUGAGAAGAAACCUCAGGGUGAGGACACUGACUCUACAGAAACUGUAAAUCAGAUACUUUAUCCUUUAGGUCACUGAGGCUUUCUCAACUCAGAAGCUUGUGUUUCAUUUCAUUAAGAAAUAUUUGAUUAGUCAAAUGGUAGCACUGAAUGUUUUCUUGCCUAACACGGUAAUGAUUCCUUUACAUUCUGUUGAAAGGGAAGGUCUAGGGUAAUUCCAAGCAUGAUUUGUCUUCUAUUCAAUAGCUUAAAAAUGUAGCUAAUAAUAAUUAUGUUAAAUUGGAUGUUGUAAAGAUCUAAGGAGAUUAUGCAUAGAAAUGCAUUCUGUCGAGAACACUCAAGGCAUGAAACUUAAUUACUGGGAGACCAUGCUCCAUGUUCUCUGGCUCUGGGAAUCUCCCAGAACAGCAUUUAAAGAGAUAACAUCAUCUCUAGACAAUGCUGUCCAAUUAAAAGAUAAUACAAGUCUUCUACUUUAUCUUCCGGAAUAAAAAUAAUUAAAAAAACACAAGUCAUAAAU
RNAcentral lists this long non-coding RNA (3072 nucleotides) under Homo sapiens (human). Its description in RNAcentral is "non-protein coding lnc-TRIM27-18:1". The stretch from base 1134 to 1206 matches the Rfam family "tRNA". Lineage: Eukaryota; Metazoa; Chordata; Mammalia; Primates; Hominidae. The record is from RNAcentral.